GUGGCGAAGGCGGCCCCCUGGACGAAGACUGACGCUCAGGUGCGAAAGCGUGGGGAGCAAACAGGAUUAGAUACCCUGGUAGUCCACGCCGUAAACGAUGUCUACUUGGAGGCUGUGGUCAUGAACCGUGGCUUCCGGAGCUAACGCGUUAAGUAGACCGCCUGGGGAGUACGGCCGCAAGGUUAAAACUCAAAUGAAUUGACGGGGGCCCGCACAAGCGGUGGAGCAUGUGGUUUAAUUCGAUGCAACGCGAAGAACC
RNAcentral lists this ribosomal RNA (259 nucleotides) under Enterobacteriaceae bacterium G5_4_3BCO2. Its description in RNAcentral is "partial 16S ribosomal RNA". It matches the Rfam family "Bacterial small subunit ribosomal RNA", at positions 712 to 970 of the family's 1533-position model. The record is from RNAcentral. Lineage: Bacteria; Pseudomonadati; Pseudomonadota; Gammaproteobacteria; Enterobacterales; Enterobacteriaceae.